Molecule: ribosomal RNA, 768 nt
Filed under: Triticum aestivum (bread wheat)
Lineage: Eukaryota; Viridiplantae; Streptophyta; Magnoliopsida; Poales; Poaceae
Description: partial small subunit ribosomal RNA
Source: RNAcentral
AUGAAAGUCAAACAGUCCUUGUUUAAUAAGACGAAGUUUGUUAUUGGAAACGGCACGAGUACACGUUUCUGGGAGGAUACUUGGCUCGGCGAGACACCCUUGGCCAUCCAAUAUCCGUCUUUAUACCGCAUUGUUCAACGACGUGAGGUGUUCGUCGCAUCGGUCUUUCAAUCUACCCCCCUUAAUAUUCAGUUCCGACGAACGCUAGCGGGCAAUCGUUGGGAAGAAUGGCUCCGUCUAGUUAGGAGACUGAUGGAGGUCCAGCUUUCACAACAACCCGAUGAAUUACGCUGGAAAUUGACUAAGUCUGGAGUAUUCACGGUUAAAUCAAUGUAUAUUGAUGUUAUUAAUUCGAACUCCAUUCCUACGUCCAAGCAUGUUUGGGAUGUCAAAGUUCCUUUGAAAAUAAAAGUGUUUAUGUGGUUUGUCCAUAAACAAGUUAUUUUAACUAAGGACAACUUGAUAAAGCGUAAUUGGACAGGACCUGCUAGGUGUAGUUUCUGCGAUCGGAAUGAGACUAUCAAACACCUCUUUUUUGAUUGCCCGUUGGCCAAGGUACUUUGGCAGACGGUCCACAUUGCUUUUAAUAUCAAUCCACCGAAUUCUGUUAAUGCGUUAUUUGGGACAUGGCUUAAUGGGAUUGAGCCUGACUUAGCGAGACAUAUUCGGGUUGGAGUUUGUGCUUUGCUGUGGACUAUCUGGACUUGCAGAAAUGAUUUGGUUUUUAACAGAAUAUCAUGUAUACCUUUUUUGCAGGUCAUAUUCUGA